This 812-nucleotide long non-coding RNA is filed under the name Linum usitatissimum (flax). RNAcentral's name for it is "long non-coding RNA (LUSI_LNC002752)". Lineage: Eukaryota; Viridiplantae; Streptophyta; Magnoliopsida; Malpighiales; Linaceae. The record is from RNAcentral.
UAUUUAUCCUUAAGAUCCUUUAAUAGCAUACCAAGAUCAAUUAGGUUUAACCCUCAUCACUUAAAUAGCUUGUACAUCCAAUUUGGGUCAAAAUGUCAUAAUCCCAAACUUGAGGGUCAUGGCAGUUACAUAGGACCGGUUAUUAACUAAUCUGUCAAUAUUUUAAAGUAUUUUUUAUUGUUAGCCAUUUAUGAAACUUAGGUGACCUGAUCUGGCCUCAAGAACUCUAGUGACCAAACUGCAAUUACUGGAACUUCAGGAAUCGUCAUGACAUUUUAUCCAAUCGUCUUCCCUAACGAGGCCAAACCCAUUUUCCAGAAUCAAUUCCGGCGAGUCCAACCCCACUUCAAACCUUCACGAACCUUCGAAUUAACUCAGGGGAAACACUCAUCACCUGAUUUCGAAGCGGGGGAGAUGGUAACUCGAAUCUGACCAUGAGAGGAUUAAUAUAUCGAGUUAGGCUUCUGGGAAGUUCUAAUGGAGGGAGAGGAAGGUAAGGGAUAGACCCAACGAUCCUUACCUAGAUGGGAAUGAGUUUACGGGUCUUCCAUCGGAGCUUCAUCAGUGUUGAUUGAUUUACCGGUCAAAACACACCAAACUGAGAAGAAAAGGGGUGCCUUAGUCGCGGAACUUGAUGAGGAAGGUCAUGGAAUCAAGAGAGAAGCACAGAGGCUUACCUAGGCUGAGCUACAGACCUUCGAAGCCUCGCUGGCGUGGCUCACCGGAGACAGGGAAGAAGAGGAUUGGACUCGUUUCUGGAGAUUUAGAAGCCUCAAACGGCUGCAAAUGAAUGGUGGAACGUAGGGUUUCGA